UACGUAGGGGCAAGCGUUGUCCGGAAUCAUUGGGCGUAAAGAGCGUGUAGGCGGCCCGAUAAGUCCGCUGUGAAAGUCCAGGGCUCAACCCUGGAAUGCCGGUGGAUACUGUCGGGCUCGAAUCCGGAAGAGGUGAGUGGAAUUCCUGGUGUAGCGGUGAAAUGCGCAGAUAUCAGGAGGAACACCGGUGGCGAAGGCGGGUCUCUGGGCAACAACUGACGCUGGAGGAGCGAAAGCGUGGGGAGCGAACAGG
Molecule: ribosomal RNA, 253 nt
Filed under: uncultured bacterium
Lineage: Bacteria
Description: partial 16S ribosomal RNA
Rfam family: Bacterial small subunit ribosomal RNA
Source: RNAcentral